This 1016-nucleotide ribosomal RNA is filed under the name uncultured bacterium. Its description in RNAcentral is "bacterial SSU rRNA". It matches the Rfam family "Bacterial small subunit ribosomal RNA", at positions 357 to 1376 of the family's 1533-position model. The record is from RNAcentral.
AGGAAUAUUGGUCAAUGGACGAGAGUCUGAACCAGCCAAGUAGCGUGAAGGAUGAAGGUUCUAUGGAUUGUAAACUUCUUUUAUACGGGAAUAAAGUGAGGCACGUGUGCCUUUUUGUAUGUACCGUAUGAAUAAGGAUCGGCUAACUCCGUGCCAGCAGCCGCGGUAAUACGGAGGAUCCGAGCGUUAUCCGGAUUUAUUGGGUUUAAAGGGAGCGUAGGCGGACGCUUAAGUCAGUUGUGAAAGUUUGCGGCUCAACCGUAAAAUUGCAGUUGAUACUGGGUGUCUUGAGUACAGUAGAGGCAGGCGGAAUUCGUGGUGUAGCGGUGAAAUGCUUAGAUAUCACGAAGAACUCCGAUUGCGAAGGCAGCUUGCUGGACUGUAACUGACGCUGAUGCUCGAAAGUGUGGGUAUCAAACAGGAUUAGAUACCCUGGUAGUCCACACAGUAAACGAUGAAUACUCGCUGUUUGCGAUAUACAGUAAGCGGCCAAGCGAAAGCGUUAAGUAUUCCACCUGGGGAGUACGCCGGCAACGGUGAAACUCAAAGGAAUUGACGGGGGCCCGCACAAGCGGAGGAACAUGUGGUUUAAUUCGAUGAUACGCGAGGAACCUUACCCGGGCUUGAAUUGCAACUGAAUGAUGUGGAGACAUGUCAGCCGCAAGGCAGUUGUGAAGGUGCUGCAUGGUUGUCGUCAGCUCGUGCCGUGAGGUGUCGGCUUAAGUGCCAUAACGAGCGCAACCCUUAUCGAUAGUUACCAUCAGGUUAUGCUGGGGACUCUGUCGAGACUGCCGUCGUAAGAUGUGAGGAAGGUGGGGAUGACGUCAAAUCAGCACGGCCCUUACGUCCGGGGCUACACACGUGUUACAAUGGGGGGUACAGAAGGCAGCUACACGGCGACGUGAUGCUAAUCCCGAAAGCCUCUCUCAGUUCGGAUUGGAGUCUGCAACCCGACUCCAUGAAGCUGGAUUCGCUAGUAAUCGCGCAUCAGCCACGGCGCGGUGAAUACGUUCCCG